CCUGAGCCCAGACAUCCCAGUCCCUGGCCACCUACCCAUCCCGUGCCUUGGCCCUGUUCCCACCACAGGGCUUUUGCACAUGCUGUUCCCCCAGUCCAGAAGUCCUCUCCCUCUUCCUUGCUCCAUCUGAUUUUCCUUCUCCUCGGGGAGGGCCUCCCCACACCCUAACUAGGUGAGGUUUUCUCUCUAAGACUCCCAAACCACAGCCUGGUGCAUCUGUCGUUUAAGACACUCCUCAGGGGCCAUUUUACAUUUAGGUCUGGGAUUAUCUGAGAAACCUUGAGCCUCUUGAAGGUAGAAACCAAGUGUAUUGAGCUCUGCACUGUCCCCCACCUCUUCUCCCAGGAAUGAAGCAUGGUCACCACGUCAUGAAUAUUGUUAGACAAAAGCAAUGGCAGCAUCUUUUGGAGAGUAACCAAGCGCAAUUCCUUCUCUUUAUGUGGAUUUCCUCAUUUAAUCUUUGCCACAACCCUUGGAGGUAGCCAAUAUUAUCAUCCCCAUUUUACAGAUGAAGAAGGCGAGGCUCAGGAGGCCUUUUCCUAGAUGAGAGAGGCGGACAAGGCAAGGGAUUACUUCCCUAUCACACAGGCGAGAAAACCAAGGGCCAAAGAGAGUAAGAGGGUGCCCACAUCAUUGGCAAAUUAGCCAUGGGGUGACCUGGGCCCCAGGCAUUGCUCAGCAGCUUCCUUUUUUCUCAGCCUGGGAACGCUGGGUCAGCUUUGGCCCUUCCAUCUCCAGAGGCAGAUGACCACAGUGGUUCUGAUGGGCCCCCAUCCAGGCCAUGGGACCCCCUCUGAGUCUCCCUCUACUUUCCCACAAUGUCCUGUCAAACCGGCCCAGGUAGCUGUCUUCAGCCUCCAGAUGCUCAAGCUCUCCUAUGAGAGGAAGAGUAUCAUGGUUCCACCAUGAUUGUAUAAGUCCCCUCCCGACACCCAGGCAGGCAACUUUUUGUGGCUUUCACUUCAGGAAAGUUGAGGUGGGUGCGUAGAGGUAGAGGGAGGCGGGGAGGCUGGAGGGUGGGAAUUCCACCCACACAGAUGGGCCUCUGAAACCUCCAAGUUCUUCUCACUGCCCCUGCUGUGACUGGUUGUGUUUCUAAAACAUGGCUGUCCUCUUGAUCAUCAAAAUCGUGCAAGUUAUGGAUGGGGUACCCCUGGCAGGGGGUGGGAGGGGAGUUGACAGUUUUAGUAAUAUUAGAUUUCUUAAGCUGAGUGGAAGGGCAGGGGUGUUUGUAACACAGAUCCCCAAACCACUGCCCGUCUCUAUCAGGGCCACAUGGCUUUCCAAAUCCAGAAUUCUGUGGAUUUUAGAAGGUAGUACAGGGUGCGUGCACACUAGGUACGUUACAGGACACGCCCGUGGGAUCACGGUGAUGCCCUGCAGUCAAGCCCACUGAUAUUUCUCGGCAUAUGAAUGAUCACAUGAAGCAAGAUAAGUACUGUGUUAAUAUUAUUAACAGCCUUCCAUCCAAGCGGUCACGUUUGCUGACAAAAUGUAAAAAAAUCUUGCAGCCUUCAGAGCUUGUUUGAUUUUGUCUUGCAAAUGGGAUUGACAGUCUUAGUGGUGGCAAGUGAGAUCUGUGAUCUUCACUGCAGCGUGAAGGAGUUUUAGUUGCGGCAAGCAUUGUCUGGUGCCCUGACCAGGGAUUGAACCCAGGCCCUCUCCAUUCGGAGCACAGAGUCUUAGCCACUGGACCACCAGGGAAGUCCCUUCAAUAUCUCUUCAUGCGUGAAAAUGACAGCCAACUGUAAUGUAGGCACAUGGUGGAAAACAGAGAAAAGCAUAAAGAAACAAACUCACCCUGCUCAUUCACGGCCAUCACCCAUUUGCCAUAACUAAGAGAUCAAUGUGGGUUCGUUGCUAUUAACCACAUUCCAGACUUUGAAUUUCACAAGUUUUUUCACUGAUAUACUUUUUCUGUCCUAGGACCCAAUCCAGGUUAGCACAUUGCCUUUAGGUUUUUUUAAAAAAUCUUAAAAAAAUUUAUAUUAUUUAGUUUUUUUUUUAAUCUGAAAAGUUCAGAGUCCUCUAACAACCAGCUAUAAACCCCGUCUCCCGGAGUGCCCUUCUUCUUUCCUCCUCCCCUGCCUUUUCUCGGAGCCCCCUCUUAUUUCUGGUUCCUGAGGACUUCCCUUCUUGCAUUUGAGUCUAACUAUGGACAUCAUGCUUUUUAGGAAACUGUUAACCAAGACUUGGGCGUGCUGGAGUGCUUCCAGAAAUCAGUUUGAAGCAGCUCUUCAGGGGCAGAGAGAGUGCCAAGCAGAUGUGUCCUGGCCAGGGAAGAGCAGUUCCAGGACCAGGGUGGGAGUGGGGGUGGGGGGCAGCCUGCAGGGGGAGGAAUCCCAGGGUGGCUGAGGGAGGGGUUGUUUUCUGGGAGGUGGGUAAAGGACUUGCAAAUCAGGCCAGGAGUUAGGUCGAGAUCACGUCAAGGAGACUUAAAGGCCCGAAGAAAGGAGUAGCAGCACAUAGACGGCUUUGGCGUGGGGUGUGGAAGGACGUUCCUUGGUUUGCCACUGGUGCAGAACGGCUGGACUGGGGAGGCGUCAGCCUGAACCUGUGUUAAAGUGAUAAGAGGAGUGGCCCUCAAGCGUCCUUCAUUGCACACAGGGAGCUCCAGAGGCCGAGAACCAGGAUGCUUGUUCAAGGUCACGGGUCACAUUCACAUCAGAGUCCGUGACUGUGGCCCCAGCAUUUUUAUGUAAGUAUGGAUGGGUUUCCAACAACAGCUGUUUCGUUCUUACUCUGGGCCAGGCCCACAUAGCUCCUGACUUCAUGAAUCAUAAAGCUUAGAGGGCAUGGACAGUGAUAGAUAAUACCUAACUAGCCAAACAAAAGACUAUGUAACCACUCAUUGUGCCUGGAGCUAUGAAUUAAAGCCAGGUGGUCAGAGAAGGGGCUUAUACAACUCAUAACCCCAAAUUAGGAGGCUAUUUGAAAGUUAUCUAGUGCUCUGGGUCUUGGACUUUGGCCUACAUCAGAAUUACCUGCAGGGGUGGUUAAAACAGAUUCCUGGCUCAGGCUCAGUUUCUACCUUGGUGGGCCGAGCGUGGUGCCUAGGGUCUGCAUCUCCAACAAGCUCUCUCCCAGGUGGUGCCAAUGCUGCUGGUUGAGGGGCCACGCUUGGUCUCCGGAGUAUAAAAAUGCAGUUAGAUCCAUGGCUAGCAGAUGACGUAUCACUUGGCUUUGCCGAUGGUUUCAUUUCAGAGGUGGAGGAAGUGAGCCAUGCGGGGAAGUCCUGAUACCCGUUCAAACCUGAAAGAAGCUGUUGAGAAUGUGGAUAAGUGAGAAUUCAGGAGAGGAAGAGCCACGUGAUCCCCCAGCUGCAGGCGGAUUCUAUACCACUGAGCAACCAGGAAAGCCCUGCAUCUCUUUUUGACUUCAGGAUUAAACUGACUUUUUUCCACAUUGACCAAUUUGUGCUGGGUCUUCGCUGCCAUGUGCCGGCUCUCUAGUUGCAGUGAGCCGGGGCUACUCUCCAGCUGCGGUGCUCGGACUUCUCACUGUGGUGGCUUCUCUUGUGGAGGGGCUCUAGAGUGCUGGCCCAGCAGCUGUGGCACUCAGGCUUUGGUUGCCCGCGGCAUGUGAGACCUUCCUGGACCAGGGAUCAAACCUGCGUCCCCUGCAUUGGCAGGCGGAUUCUAAUCCCCUGGACCACCAGGGAAGUCCACACAGGCCUUGCAGUGGCACUUCAAGUGGCAGCAAGAGCCCUGGGCUGGGAGGCUGAGGCUUGGUUCCUGCCCAGCCCUGGGCCUCAUUUUCCCCUCCUGUAAAAUGAGAGGGUUAGACCUGAUGAUCCCCAAGUUCCCUUUUGAUGCUGACCUUGUAAGAUAUUUGUCCACAUGACAUGACUCUAAUGGCGGAAUCUCAGGCACCAUUACUGGGGUGAGCAGGAGGUAUUUUGGAGAAGGCCCUGCCUAGCGCGUUCUGCUGCCUUCCCCACAGGACAAGUUGAGCUGGCCCUGCAGUCUUUUUGAAUAUCUGCCUGUGCAUAUGGCUUUGGUAGAGAGGAAGGGAGCAGGAGCUAGAAUUACCCUGGCUGGGUUUCCCAGCCUCCUCCUUGGUCAGCAGAGAGCAUCUCUCAGACAAUCUCUCUUCUCUCCGCCUUUGACCCCCUUCCCCAGCUACCAGCAGAAGUCCCAUUUCCUGACCUGCUUCCUGCAUGAGCUGUCACUCAUUUCUGUCCCAUGUGGUUCCAGCGUUGGGCAGGAAAUACGGGACUGUGGGGGCUUCAGAUUCAGACGACAGCAGGGAGGGUAAGGGGAUGGCACCAAGGUCCAGUUUCUCAUGGAAGAGGGGGAGGGUGGAGCCUCUAAAAAGCAAAUCAGACUUUAACAUGGAAGAGAAACUCUGAUGAGCCUCAGCCAGACCACUUUAUGAUGCUCAAAGCAUAUGUCUUCUUCCCACCUCAGGCUAGAAUACAAGAGGUUUCUUUCUGCCAUCUCAGUCUUGGGAGGUACCAGGCUCCUGAGAAGCUGUGUGAAGAAAAUCCCUCACUGCCACAUUGGCCAAAUGGAAUGGGGAAAUGGCACAGGAAGACACUGGCAUGUGCAAAGUCCCUGGGGUAGAAGGGAACACGAAAGAGUCAAGAACCUGAAAGGAGGUCGAUGUAGCAGGGAGGAGAGGGAGAGAGGGGAGGCCUGGGUCCACGCUGUGAAGGUGCAGAGGGGGCCUGGCCUUUACUUUGAUGAGCAGGAGAGAUGGCCAGGGGCAAGGGCCAGAGUGGAACUUGGCAGAGGGACACUACUUAGAGUUUAGGAAGACUUGAGGGGACAGCACCAUCUUCUGAGCCAGGUUCUUUCCUCCUCUCUCCCCUCCAAAUGCUCUCUUGGGCCUGUUUCUCUUCUCUUGGGGUCCAAAGCAAGGUCUGACCCAGGAAGCUGACCAGGAGCGCUCAUGCAGGCUGGCAGGCAGGGCUCCUGGCAGAGGAGUCAAUGUGGUCUCACCAGUUCCCAAGUCCUGAGUCCAACAUGGAAAUUACAGGCCUUGGGAUGUAAGCCUCUGUGGGUAGUGACACCAGCUGGGAGACUCACUGUACCCGAGACAGCACCCCCGAGGGGGUUGGGAAGCCCAGGCCCCCACAUUGAUGCCCCAAGGACAGUAUGAGGAUAACCAGGCAGCUCCUUCCCCAAAACAGAAACUUUCACCAUCACAAGUGCCAGAGAGCUUGCUUGGAGCUCUGCCUCAUGUGGACCACAGCCCAGCCAGAAGCCCACAAGGCCCCGGGGCUCAUUUCUACUCCAGGAAAGUGCAGCCCCUCAGCUUCUUUCACCAUCCCGGGAGAGCAUCUCUGCACAAGAGAUGCAGUUAGCAUCUCAUCACUGUGGUUAGCAGGACAUGUGGAGUCCCAGAGCUUGCCAGAACAGCACCAACCUGCUGGACACCUCUCCUAACUCCUGCCCCUUCCCUCCAAGCCCAGAGACUCAGACCUAGGCUUACAUCAAAAGACUGGGAAGUCCCCCAGCACAGCUGGGGGCAUCUGCUGCUUCCUCCAGGGAGGAAACAAGGGCUGCCCAAGGCCAGGUCCUGUGGACGCACAUCCUGCCACCUGGGCUGCUGACCCAGGAGAGGUUAGGGCCCUUGUGUGGGACCAGCCUUGGGCAAUGGGGAAUGCAGGGGGAAGGCUUGGUCUUCAAAUCUACAUCCAAAUACCAGUAUCUUGAAAUAGUAGUUUGGAGUUCCUCUGCCUCGGUUCCCUCAUCUGUUAAAUGGGAUGAUGAUAAUACUUUCCACACAGUGGUCUGGUAAGGACUGAGUUCGUUUGGAGGGACUAACAUGGUGGCCAAGAGCAGGGGUUCUGGAGUGCCCCUGCUUGGGUCCAAACCCCAGCUUCUUCGCUGCUAGCUGUGUAAUCUCGACAUGUUACCUCCCUGUUUCCUCACUUGUAAAAAUGGAGAUUAAAAGGCUGCCAUGAGGAUUAAAGGGGCAAGCAUAAGUACUUAGAGUAGGUACCAGUGCUCACAAAUGUCAGGUAUUGGUUUUACUCCAUGGAAACGGUACUUGGCACACAAGCUAAAUGGUACUUGCCCAGUAAAUGUAGGCUCCACCCUCUGGUCCCCUUGAUUGUUACGUCUUGUGUUUCCUACCCCCAAAUUCAAACACACAAGAUUCCCUUUGAUCUCCCAUCUGUAAAAUGUUAUUACCUUGUUCAUACUCAAGUGUAAAUGACUGGUAGUCAUUUAAUUUAUACCAGAGGAGCAGUCAAAAAUUCAGCCAAAAGAACGAUGUGCUGAUGGUGGAUUCUCAGGCCACCAGCCAGGCUGAGGGUAGGGGGCACUUGGGAAGGUAGCUCUCCCAGAGUCCUUCAGUGAUAACCUUAUCAGCCGGCCAGGUACCUCGAGGGUAGAAAGGAUAUCAGGCCCAAGACCCAGCUCUGCUUCUAAGUGCUGUGUGACUUUCAGCAACUCACUGACCUCUCUGAAUUUCAGCUUCCUCAUCUGCUUAACGGGAUUACUUUUCUGCCUUUCUCAAGGGGCUGUUUGAAAUUAAAUGCACCUGAAAAUGGUCUGCAUUUGUCUCUCCAGAUUGUGGUUAUCUGUCCAUGCGUCCGUCCACUCUCCCCAGCCUGGGCAGGGAGGAGGUGUUCUGUGAACACGAGUGGUACUGAAGUGCACAUCCUGAUCUUGGGACAUAACCCCAUCCAUGCAUCCAGUCACAGCCCACAUGCACUUUCUCUUCCAUCUCCCAUCAUGCCCUGCAGUGACCCGGCGAAGCUGGGAAUACCCCAUUUAGCAGAGGAGGAAACUGAGGCCUGGGGAGGACAGGGCAUUUGCCUGAGGCCACAUAGCUAGAAGUGGUGGGCCUGGGAAUCAGCCACAAGCACUUGACUGCCAAAUCUCUGCCAUC
Bos taurus (domestic cattle) is the source of this 6843-nucleotide long non-coding RNA. Lineage: Eukaryota; Metazoa; Chordata; Mammalia; Artiodactyla; Bovidae. The record is from Ensembl.